RNAcentral lists this non-coding RNA (107 nucleotides) under Chloropicon mariensis. The record is from RNAcentral. Lineage: Eukaryota; Viridiplantae; Chlorophyta; Chloropicophyceae; Chloropicales; Chloropicaceae.
CAAUAAAAGAAAAAACCUACGCUACUAGAGAUCAAUCAAUUUGUUUGUAUUAUAAUGAAUCCUUUUCUACUUUCUUUCUUUCUUUUUGUUUUUUCCUCCUCCUCCUC